RNAcentral lists this ribosomal RNA (302 nucleotides) under uncultured bacterium. RNAcentral describes it as "partial 16S ribosomal RNA". It matches the Rfam family "Bacterial small subunit ribosomal RNA", at positions 508 to 809 of the family's 1533-position model. The record is from RNAcentral.
GCAGUAGCCGCGGUAAUACAGGGGAUGCAGGCGUUAUCCGGAAUGAUUGGGCGUAAAGCGUCUGUAGGUGGCUUUUCAAGUCCGCUGUCAAAUCCCAGGGCUCAACCCUGGACAGGCGGUGGAAACUACCAAGCUAGAGUACGGUAGGGGCAGAGGGAAUUUCCAGUGGAGCGGUGAAAUGCGUUGAGAUCGGAAAGAACACCAACGGCGAAAGCACUCUGCUGGGCCGACACUGACACUGAGAGACGAAAGCCAGGGGAGCAAAUGGGAUUAGAACCCCUGUAGUCCCUGUCUCUUAUACA